RNAcentral lists this transfer RNA (69 nucleotides) under Ardisia japonica. Its description in RNAcentral is "tRNA-His". The stretch from base 24 to 69 matches the Rfam family "tRNA", at positions 1 to 44 of the family's 71-position model. From Rfam's summary of the family: Transfer RNA (tRNA) molecules are approximately 80 nucleotides in length. Lineage: Eukaryota; Viridiplantae; Streptophyta; Magnoliopsida; Ericales; Primulaceae. The record is from RNAcentral.
UUCGCGGGUUCAAUUCCCGUCGUGCGGAUGUAGCCAAGUGGAUUAAGGCAGUGGAUUGUGAAUCCACCA